Molecule: transfer RNA, 82 nt
Filed under: Corynebacterium sp.
Lineage: Bacteria; Bacillati; Actinomycetota; Actinomycetes; Mycobacteriales; Corynebacteriaceae
Description: tRNA-Tyr
Rfam family: tRNA
About the family: Transfer RNA (tRNA) molecules are approximately 80 nucleotides in length. Their secondary structure includes four short double-helical elements and three loops (D, anti-codon, and T loops).
Source: RNAcentral
GCCAGGUUGCCCGAGCGGCCAAAGGGAGCGGACUGUAAAUCCGCCGGCUUGUCCUUCGCAGGUUCGAAUCCUGCACCUGGCA